RNAcentral lists this ribosomal RNA (253 nucleotides) under uncultured bacterium. RNAcentral describes it as "partial 16S ribosomal RNA". It matches the Rfam family "Bacterial small subunit ribosomal RNA", at positions 524 to 776 of the family's 1533-position model. The record is from RNAcentral.
UACGUAGGGUGCAAGCGUUGUCCGGAAUUAUUGGGCGUAAAGAGCUCGUAGGCGGUCUGUCGCGUCUGCUGUGAAAACCUAGGGCUUAACUCUGGGCGUGCAGUGGGUACGGGCAGGCUAGAGUGCGGUAGGGGAGACUGGAAUUCCUGGUGUAGCGGUGAAAUGCGCAGAUAUCAGGAGGAACACCCGUGGCGAAGGCGGCCCACUGGGCCGGUACUGACGCUGAGGCACGAAGGCGUGGGGAGCGAACGGG